GUUUUGGGGUACAUGAGCAGAGCAUGCAAGACAGUUGCGUAGGUACACACAUGGCAGUGUGCUUUGCUUUUCUUCUCCCCUUCACCCACAUUUGGCAUUUCUCCCAGGCUAUCCCUCCCCACCUCCCCCUCCCACUGGCCCUCCCCUUUUCCCCCCAAUAGACCCCAGUGUUUAGUACUCCCCUUUCUGUGUCCAUGUGUUCUCAUUUUUCAUCACCCACCUAUGAGUGAGAAUAUGCGGUGCUUCACCUUCUGUUCUUGUGUCAGUUUGCUGAGGAUGAUGUUCUCCAGAUUCAUCCAUGUCCCUACAAACGACACAACCUCAUCAUUUCUGAUUGCUGCAUAAUAUUCCAUGGUGUAUAUGUGCCACAUUUUUCCAAUCCAGUCUAUUAUCAAUGGGCAUUUGGGUUGAUUCCAGGUCUUUGCUAUUGUAAACAGUGCUGCAAUGAACAUUCGUGUACAUGUGUCCUUAUAGUAGAACGAUUUACAGACUUUGGGAUAUAUACCCAGUAAUGGGAUUGCUGGGUCAAAUGGAAUUUCUAUUUCUAAGGCCUUGAGGAAUCGCCACACUGUCUUCCACAAUGGUUGAACUAAUAUACACUCCCACCAACAGUGUAAAAGUGUUCCUUUUUCUCCACAUCCUCUCCAGCAUCUGUUGUCUCCAGAUUUGUCUCCUCAAGCAGCUCCCUGACCCCUCUAUAUCCAAAAGACUGUCAUUAGGCAGGCAUCAUCCUGGGACAAAGAGAGCAGAAAAAGAAACUGGUAGCAUCCCUCGCUGUGCCACGGCUACUAGAGGUGAACCCCAGACAAGCAGGGUCUGGAGUGGACCCAAACAGUCGUACAGCGAAGGGGCUAGACUGGUAGAAGGAAAACCAAGCAACAGAAAUACUUCAUCAUCAACAUUCUGGGUGUCCACUCAGAGACCCAAACGAAAAGUCAGCAACUACGCAGACGACCAGCGGACAAAUCCACAAAGAUGGGAAGAAACCAGCGCAAAACGGAGGAAAACACCCGAAACCAGAACACAUCGCCUCCUAGAAAGGACCAAAACUCCUCACCAGCAAGGGAACAAAGCUGGACGGAGAAUGACUGUGACGAAAUGACGGAAUUAGACUUCAGAAGAUGGAUAAUGAGAACCUUGUGUGAGCUAAAAGAUCAUGUAUUAAAUCAAUGCAAAGAAACUAAGAACCUUGAAAAAGAUUUGAAAAAAGAUUCGAGGAAAUGAUAACAAGAAUGGAUACCUUAGAGAGGAAUAUGAAUGAAUUAAAGGAGCUGAAAAACACAAUACGAGAACUUCGCGAAGCAAACGCAAGUUUCAAUAGCCGAAUUGACCAAGCAGAAGAAAGAAUAUCUGAAGUCGAAGACCAACUCAAUGAAAUAAAAUGAGAAACCAAGAUCAGAGAAAAAAGCGCAAAAAGGA
RNAcentral lists this long non-coding RNA (1419 nucleotides) under Callithrix jacchus (white-tufted-ear marmoset). RNAcentral describes it as "lncRNA (ENSCJAG00000068410.2)". The record is from RNAcentral. Lineage: Eukaryota; Metazoa; Chordata; Mammalia; Primates; Cebidae.